CGUGUAGGCGGCUUGGAAAGUCUUACGUGAAAGCCUGCGGCUCAACCGCAGAAGUGCGUAGGAAACUUCCUCGCUAGAGUCCGGAAGAGGAGAGCGGAAUUCCUGGUGUAGCGGUGGAAUGCGCAGAUAUCAGGAGGAACACCCGUGGCGAAGGCGGCUCUCUGGGACGGUACUGACGCUGAGACGCGAAAGCGUGGGGAGCGAACAGGAUUAGAUACCCUGGUAGUCCACGCCGUAAACGAUGGGCGCUAGGUGUGGGAGGUGUCAACUCCUUCCGUGCCGAAGCUAACGCAUUAAGCGCCCCGCCUGGGGAGUACGGUCGCAAGACUAAA
RNAcentral lists this ribosomal RNA (332 nucleotides) under uncultured bacterium. RNAcentral's name for it is "bacterial SSU rRNA". It matches the Rfam family "Bacterial small subunit ribosomal RNA", at positions 568 to 898 of the family's 1533-position model. The record is from RNAcentral.